ACUAACCAGGUGUAUUUGCAUUUAGAUUUUUCGUGUCUAUGGGGUUAUGAAUUUAGUAACGGUUAGGU
This 68-nucleotide transfer RNA is filed under the name Schistosoma haematobium. RNAcentral describes it as "tRNA-Glu". Lineage: Eukaryota; Metazoa; Platyhelminthes; Trematoda; Strigeidida; Schistosomatidae. The record is from RNAcentral.